RNAcentral lists this small RNA (25 nucleotides) under Bombyx mori (domestic silkworm). Its description in RNAcentral is "ovarian small RNA-21489". Lineage: Eukaryota; Metazoa; Arthropoda; Insecta; Lepidoptera; Bombycidae. The record is from RNAcentral.
UACUGCAACUGCUCGUAGAUGUGAC